AUCAACUUUCGAUGGUAGGAUAGAGGCCUACCAUGGUGGUAACGGGUAACGAGGUGUUAGGGCACGACACCGGAGAGGGAGCCUGAGAAACGGCUACCACAUCCAAGGAUGGCAGCAGGCGCGCAAAUUACCCAAUCCCGACACGGGGAGGUAGUGACAAUAAAUAACAAUACGGGGUUCUUUAGGAUCUCGUAAUUGGAAUGAGUACAAUUUAAAUCUCUUAACGAGGAACAAUUGGAGGGCAAGUCUGGUGCCAGCAGCCGCGGUAAUUCCAGCUCCAAUAGCGUAUAUUAAAGUUGUUGCAGUUAAAAAGCUCGUAGUUGAAUUUCGGGGUCAGUAGGUUGGUCGUGCCACAGGUAUGAACUGGUCUCACUGAUUCCUCCUUCCUGAUGAACCGUAAUGCCAUUAAUUUGGUGUUGCGGGGAGACUGGACUGUUACUUUGAAAAAAUUAGAGUGUUUAAAGCAGGCUUACGCUUGAAUACAUUAGCAUGGAAUAAUGAAAUAGGACAUCGCAUUCUAUUUUGUUGGUUUCUAGGAUCGAUGUAAUGAUUAAUAGGGAUAGUUGGGGGCAUUAGUAUUCAAUUGUCAGAGGUGAAAUUCUUGGAUUUAUUGAAGACUAACUACUGCGAAAGCAUUUGCCAAGGAUGUUUUCAUUAAUCAAGAACGAAAGUUAGGGGAUCGAAGACGAUCAGAUACCGUCGUAGUCUUAACCAUAAACUAUGCCGACUAGGGAUCGGAUGAUGUUAAUUUUUAAAUGACUCAUUCGGCACCUUACGGGAAACCAAAGUGUUUGGGUUC
Molecule: ribosomal RNA, 799 nt
Filed under: uncultured Glomus
Lineage: Eukaryota; Fungi; Glomeromycota; Glomeromycetes; Glomerales; Glomeraceae
Description: SSU rRNA
Rfam family: Eukaryotic small subunit ribosomal RNA
Source: RNAcentral